Molecule: long non-coding RNA, 705 nt
Filed under: Ananas comosus (pineapple)
Lineage: Eukaryota; Viridiplantae; Streptophyta; Magnoliopsida; Poales; Bromeliaceae
Description: long non-coding RNA (ACOM_LNC020751)
Source: RNAcentral
GUACAAAGGAAAACGAAUAAUACGGAUGUAUUUUGUUAAAAAAAAUACUAGGGAUAAUUGCCUAUAUACUUCUCAUACGUUUGAAAAUAUCUGAUUUAUUCUUCUUUUUUUUUCUUUCUAAAAUACCCUUCAUAUGUUCCACUGUUAUUGCUAAAUACCCCCUCAGUUAUCUUAUAUUAAGUUAACUUGGUUUAAACGUGAAUUAAAUAUCUAUCAUAGUUAAAAAAAAAUUAAAAUACCAAUUUUGCCCUUAACUUAAGAGCAAAUAAGAAAUGUUGGUGACGGUAGAAGAGUAUAUUUGAAAAGAUCAAAAGUCAAAAUACUUUUUGUGCCCCUGACUUUAAGGGCAAAUAAGAAAGUUGGUAAUAGUGGAAGGUAAUAUUUGAAAGAGCAAAAUAGUAAUUUUACAGAGAUAACAAAGUUUAGUAACAGAUUUUAACUCUAGGGAUAUAUUAGAAAUAGGUUAGAACGUAGAAAGGAUAUUUUUAAUAUUAACUUUCUAAGAGAGAGGUAAAUCGGAAAGUCGAAAAUUUUUCAGGAAUAUAUAGGCAAUUGCCCCAAAAUACUAAUAAUACACCCCAAAAUAGGGGUACCUCUUACAACCCCACCCAUUACUGAAUGGGGCGUAAUUAGUCACAUCAUGUGACUGGUGAGCAAAUUUGAGUGGAUCGUAAGAUGUACAUCCUGUUUUGGAUGUAAGUCUAG